AAUGAACGCUGGCGGCAUGCCUAACACAUGCAAGUCGAGCGGAUGAACGGAGCUUUCUCCCGGAUGCAGUUGCGGACGGGUGAGUAAUUCCCAGGAAGCUGCCCUGCAUUUGAGGAUAACGUCCCUAAAGGGGCGCUAAUACCAUAUCCGCCCAGAGGUAGAAACUGAUGGAUCUUCGGACCUCACGCCAUCUGAUGACCCUAAGACGUAUUUGCUAGUUGGUUGGCUAACGUCCUAACGAGCCGACAUUCCGUAACUGACCUGAGAGGAGGAGCACCCACACUGGAACUGAGACACGGUCCAGACUCCUACGGGAGGCAGCAGUGGGGAAUUUUGGGCAAUGGGCGAAAGCCUGAUCCAGCCAUGCCGCGUGUGUGAAGAAGGUCUUCGGAUCGUAAAGCCCUUUUAUUGGGGAAGAACAGCUGUAGGUUAAUACCUUGCUGUUUUGACGUUACCAAAAGAAUAAGCACCGGCUAACUACGUG
This 484-nucleotide ribosomal RNA is filed under the name uncultured bacterium. Its description in RNAcentral is "partial 16S ribosomal RNA". It matches the Rfam family "Bacterial small subunit ribosomal RNA", at positions 29 to 507 of the family's 1533-position model. The record is from RNAcentral.